CCGCAAUGGGCGAAAGCCUGACGGAGCAACGCCGCGUGAGGGAUGAAGGCCUCUGGGCUGUAAACCUCUUUUAUCAAGGAAGAAGAUCUGACGGUACUUGAUGAAUAAGCCACGGCUAAUUCCGUGCCAGCAGCCGCGGUAAUACGGGAGUGGCAAGCGUUAUCCGGAAUUAUUGGGCGUAAAGCGUCCGCAGGCGGCCCUACAAGUCUGCUGUUAAAAAGUGGAGCUUAACUCCAUCAUGGCAGUGGAAACUGUUGGGCUCGAGUGUGGUAGGGGCAGAGGGAAUUCCCGGUGUAGCGGUGAAAUGCGUAGAUAUCGGGAAGAACACCAGUGGCGAAGGCGCUCUGCUGGGCCAUCACUGACGCUCAUGGACGAAAGCCAGGGGAGCGAAAGGGAUUAGAUACCCCUGUAGUCCUGGCCGUAAACGAUGAACACUAGGUGUCGGGGGAAUCGACCCCUCCGGUGUCGUAGCCAACGCGUUAAGUUUC
RNAcentral lists this ribosomal RNA (488 nucleotides) under uncultured bacterium. Its description in RNAcentral is "bacterial SSU rRNA". It matches the Rfam family "Bacterial small subunit ribosomal RNA", at positions 366 to 868 of the family's 1533-position model. The record is from RNAcentral.